RNAcentral lists this transfer RNA (75 nucleotides) under Gloeochaete wittrockiana. RNAcentral describes it as "tRNA-Pro". It matches the Rfam family "tRNA". From Rfam's summary of the family: Transfer RNA (tRNA) molecules are approximately 80 nucleotides in length. Their secondary structure includes four short double-helical elements and three loops (D, anti-codon, and T loops). Lineage: Eukaryota; Glaucocystophyceae; Gloeochaetales; Gloeochaetaceae. The record is from RNAcentral.
CGGGAUGUCGCGUAGUUUGGUUAUCGUGUCUGCUUUGGGAGCAGAAUUUCGAGGGUUCAAAUCCUUCCAUCCCGA